RNAcentral lists this ribosomal RNA (447 nucleotides) under uncultured bacterium. Its description in RNAcentral is "partial 16S ribosomal RNA". It matches the Rfam family "Bacterial small subunit ribosomal RNA", at positions 331 to 794 of the family's 1533-position model. The record is from RNAcentral.
CCAGACUCCUACGGGAGGCAGCAGUCGGGAAUAUUGCGCAAUGGAGGAAACUCUGACGCAGUGACGCCGCGUGCAGGAAGAAGGUUUUCGGAUUGUAAACUGCUUUAGACAGGGAAGAAAAAAGACAGUACCUGUAGAAUAAGCUCCGGCUAACUACGUGCCAGCAGCCGCGGUAAUACGUAGGGAGCAAGCGUUAUCCGGAUUUAUUGGGUGUAAAGGGUGCGUAGACGGGAAAACAAGUUAGUUGUGAAAUCCCUCAGCUUAACUGAGGAACUGCAACUAAAACUAUUUUUCUUGAGUGCUGGAGAGGAAAGUGGAAUUCCUAGUGUAGCGGUGAAAUGCGUAGAUAUUAGGAGGAACACCAGUGGCGAAGGCGGUCUGCCGGACAGCAACUGACGGUGAGGCGCGAAAGCGUGGGGAGCAAACAGGAUUAGAUACCCGAGUAGA